This 1758-nucleotide ribosomal RNA is filed under the name Toia ycia. Its description in RNAcentral is "SSU rRNA". It matches the Rfam family "Eukaryotic small subunit ribosomal RNA". The record is from RNAcentral. Lineage: Eukaryota; Metazoa; Platyhelminthes; Rhabdocoela; Nannorhynchididae.
AGUAGUCAUAUGCUUAUCUCAAAGAUUAAGCCAUGCAUGUAUAAGUUCACACCUUCAAAUGGUGAAACCGCGAAUGGCUCAUUAAAUCAGCUAUAGUUCCUUAGAUCUUACUUUACUACUUGGAUAACUGUGGAAAUUCUAGAGCUAAUACAUGCCACGGAACCCAGACCUUACGGAAUGGGUGGAUUUAUUAGAUCAAAACCAACCGCUUCGGCGAAACAAUUGGUGACUCUGGAUAAUUUUUCUGAUCGUACGGCCUUGUGCUGACGACGUAUCUUUCAAGUGUCUGACUUAUCAACUGUUGAUGGUAGUUUAUAUGACUACCAUGGUAGUAACGAGUGACGGGGAAUUUGGGUUCGAUUCCGGAGAGGGAGCCUUAGAAACGGCUACCACAUCUAAGGAAGGCAGCAGGCACGCAAAUUACCCACUCUCAGUACGAGGAGGUAGUGACGAAAAAUAACGAUGCGGGACUCAUACGAGGCCCCGCAAUUGGAAUGAGUACAAUCUAAAUCCUUUAACGAGUAUCAAUUAGAGGGCAAGUCUGGUGCCAGCAGCCGCGGUAACUCCAGCUCUAAUAGCGUAUAUUAAAGUUGUUGCAGUUAAAAAGCUCGUAGUUUGACUUGAGGUAGGUCCCACUUGUUCCUCUAUGAGGACACUUGUGGAGAUCACCUAAACAGCCGGUGAUAUUUUUCGUGCUCUUCAUUGAGUGCGAUAGAUACUCAGCACGUUUACUUUGAAGAAAUUAGAGUGCUCAAAGCAGGCUUACGCCCUGAAUAUUUAUGCAUUGAAUAAUAGAAUAGGAUCUCGGUUCUAUUUUGUUGGUUUUCGGAGUCGAGGUAAUGAUUAACAGAGACAGACGGGGGCAUUUGUAUGGCUGUGUAAGAGGUGAAAUUCGUGGAUCGCAGUCAGACAAACAACUGCGAAAGCAUUUGCCAAGGAUGUUUUCAUUAAUCAAGAACGAAAGUCAGAGGUUCGAAGACGAUCAGAUACCGUCCUAGUUUUGACCAUAAACGAUGCCGACUGAUCAUUAGUAUGCAUAUAACAAUAAUGCUUCUAGUGGUCCCUGGAAAACCUUUAAGUUUAUUGGUUCUGGGGGAAGUAUGGUUGCAAAGCUGAAACUUAAAGGAAUUGACGGAAGGGCACCACCAGGAGUGGAGCCUGCGGCUUAAUUUGACUCAACACGGGAAAACUCACCCGGCCAGGACACGAGAACGAUUGACAGGCUGAUAGCUCUUUCAUGAUUUUGUGGGUGGUGGUGCAUGGCCGUUCUUAGUUGGUGGAGUGAUUUGUCUGGUUAAUUCCGAUAACGAACGAGACUCAAGCCUGCUAAAUAGCUUACUCCUAUCAACGGGAGCAGGGCUUCUUAGAGGGAUUCGCUGCAAAUCAAAGUGGCUUGAAAUUGAGCAAUAACAGGUCUGUGAUGCCCUUAGAUGUUCGGGGCCGCACGCGCGCUACAAUGACGAUAUCAGUGAGUAUUAUGCCUGCUGUGAAAACAGUGGGAAAUCUUAUUAAUUAUCGUCAUGACAGGGAUUGGGGCUUGCAAUUAUUCCCCAUGAACGAGGAAUUCCUAGUAAGCGUAAAUCAUCAGUUUGCGCUGAUUACGUCCCUGCCCUUUGUACACACCGCCCGUCGCUACUACCGAUUGAGUGGUUUAGUGAGGACUUUGGAUCGAAUCUGAAGAUACAAUUGUAUCGACAGAAUUGAAAAGAUGCCCAAACUUGAUCACUUAGAGGAAGUAAAAGUCGUAACAAGGUUUUC